AUUGAACGCUGGCGGCAUGCCUUACACAUGCAAGUCGAACGGCAGCACGGGGCAACCUGGUGGCGAGUGGCGAACGGGUGAGUAAUGCAUCGGAACGUGCCAUUGAGUGGGGGAUAACGUAGCGAAAGUUGCGCUAAUACCGCAUAUUCUGUGAGCAGGAAAGCAGGGGACCGCAAGGCCUUGCGCUCUUUGAGCGGCCGAUGUCAGAUUAGCUAGUUGGUGAGGUAACGGCUUACCAAGGCGACGAUCUGUAGCGGGUCUGAGAGGAUGAUCCGCCACACUGGAACUGAGACACGGUCCAGACUCCUACGGGAGGCAGCAGUGGGGAAUUUUGGACAAUGGGGGGCAACCCUGAUCCAGCCAUGCCGCGUGAGUGAAGAAGGCCUUCGGUUGUAAGACCUUUCGGCCGGGAACGGAAAUACGCAUGGUUAAGUACCCUCGUGCGGA
RNAcentral lists this ribosomal RNA (447 nucleotides) under uncultured bacterium. Its description in RNAcentral is "bacterial SSU rRNA". It matches the Rfam family "Bacterial small subunit ribosomal RNA", at positions 30 to 472 of the family's 1533-position model. The record is from RNAcentral.